AAAAGGGGUGUGCUGGGAGGGUUAUGGUUUGGCAGGAGGAAUGAGAUAGGAAGGAAGCUGUGUCCAGUAGUAGAGAUGAAGUCUGAACGUUCUACUUGCUGGUGCUUGCCCAAUAUUUCUUCAUAUUGACUGGAUUGUGUCUCGCAAAUGCUGCUAAUCCAAUGAACACUGGUAAUUCUCCAUUUUUGACAUUUCCGGAGUACUUUCUCCAACUUCUGUGACAUUUUAGUAUCUGAAAUACCAUCCUGUCAAUGUUUUUAAAUCAGUGCAUGGUGUUAAUAUUGUUCAAAUUCAGUGCCAUCACUGGGCUGCCAUUAGUGGUGAAAUUGGCCCAUGAACUUAAACAAAAGCUUGUAUUAGUAAAUCCUUAAGAACUAAUUUCAAAUGUGUUGCAGUAUCCAGAAGUAGUAUGCAGCUGCCAUUGCAUGAAUACCCAGAUGACAUGAAUCUCAUAGAUAUACAUCUUUGGUAGCUAUUCUGAAGUUUAUUGAAAAUUGGGUAAACUGGGGAAAUUAUUCAGAAAAAAUAUAUAUCAUUUAGAAAUAUUUCUGUUCUAUUCCAUCUGAUUACAGGUGACAAAAAGAUCUAAAUGGAUUUUUGAGACUGAUGUUCUUAAUGCAUCCAACAAAUACAGAAAAUAUUCUUACCCUCUGCAUAAAAAGCCAAAUUCCAAGUUUCACACAAAAACAUUGUAAAAUACAUCAUUUUUGGUUAGUUCACUAUCCGUUCUUCUGUAUAGCAUAUUAGCUCCUUCUCAUGUACUCUGUGAGAUGAAAGGUACUGCUAUGAUAUCUAACCAUGGGAGUUCCAAUGAAGCAUGCUUUAUAUUAACAGUAGACAUCUCUUACUCUUUUUUGUGCUUUUCCAUUAUUUUACUGUUCAAAUAAAUUAUGCUUGAACAAAAACUCGAUACUGAAAUGUUUUCAUUUUGGUAUCUGACACAAGUAAUUUCACAGUACUCUCAACAAAUGUGGUUCUGAAAACUCUUCUGGAUAUCGUUCUAUAUACACCAAAUGACCAAACAAGUCAUUUGUCACUAAGAGAAGACUUGAUAAAUUAAUAGAUUGUGUUGAACAUGCAAUUCCUGUUCAUAUAUUGCAGUAAGUAAAAAAGCAAAGCAAAACGAAACAAAACAAUAAACAAACAAACAAAAAAAGAAACCCUCAAUUCUGGGUGAAUCUAGGUCUCCAUCCAACACAGUAUUAUUUCUCAAACAGUAGAUGUAUAAAUGAAGUGCAAGCUUAAGAACGCACCAGAAGAUGUGGGGAACAUAAAUGAUUUUCCCCUGGCAUACUCAUCAAGCAUUCUUUAAUGUUCAUUUUAAAGGAUUUCCUGAGUCUAAUAUUUAUCUGUUUAGUAACCUGCAGUUCUUUCUUCUAUCUCUUCAUCUUGUGUAAAUGAUUCCCAUCCUUCUCCGUUGACCAGCAGCUCCACAAGGCUGCUGUCUGCUGCAUAUAGAAAUAACUCCUUUUGCUUAUUUAAAGUAGGGUUUCUUUAAAGGCCCCUUAAAGAGGAUGAUAAUAGGAAAUAGCUGGUCCUUGCUGAACCACCUGAAAUUUUGUAGACUUCUACUACAUCCUCCCUGCAUUGUUUCUUUCUCGAUGGAAUAGUCCUUGCUUCCUCAGGCAUUCCUAUAGAGAAGUUACUUCAUGCUGAAAUCCUUCUUUAUUCUGUCAUAAUCUUUUCCCAUUUUACCACAUUACUUUUAUGAGUUUGGGUCUGAUCCCUGUAUAUUCAUGGAAUUGGCUAAUCAUAGUUUUAUCCUGUUUGCUCUCCCAUCUUUUCCUAAAGAUUCUGAACACUUCAUUUACUUUUGUGAUAACUACUGGCCUGAUGUUUUUAACAACAUUUUUUUUUUUUUUUUUUAUUUUAAACACAAACGUUCUCCACUGAGUUUGUAUAAGUCUGGUUUUCUAAAUAUGUAUCACUUUAUAUGCAUCCACAUAUAUCACUUUUCACCACCCCAGCAGUUACAUCUUUUCCAUGUCAUCUAUAAAUGUACUGAAAUGCGCUGAUCACUGCAGCAUUUCACAGGUAAUCUUUGUCCAUUGCAAGAACAUACAAUUUACUCCUAAAUACAUACUUAAUUCAAUAAAUGCUGCAAAUACAUUUGAUCAUUUCUGGACUAUUAAAAAGUCUAAGAAAAAGUAUGCUAAUUUCACAGAAACUUAAUUACCCAGUGGGGUUCCAUUUAUUUUUGGAAGAUUUGCAGGGAAUUCCUAAACAUAAAAACCUCAAAUACACUGAUUCAGUUAAUUUUGAUAGGGAAUAUUUUGUAAAAUCUCAGAGAAGACUUUGGCCUUUUCAUCUGCUAAGCAACCAAAAUGAUUUUUAAGAAGCUCAACUCCCACAUAGGCACUUACUUAUAUAAAGAGAAGAUUUUCAAAGGUACUUAGUUCUUAGUAGUUUGUGAUUAUAGUAUGCUGGCCAAUUUUUCAAAUAAUUGUAUCAUCAUUUAACAGGUUUACAUCUACCUAUGUGUAAAUUAGAAAUGGAAUGAUGUUAAAAACCUGUUCCCCUUUCUGGAUUCUGCAACCUCAAAAUUUUGCCCUUUUAGUAUGAGUUAGAGAUAAACAAAGUCUCUACUGUUUUGAUUUGUCUCAGAAAUAAGGAAAAGGUACUUUGAAAAUGAUAUUUAGGAGGUCCUUAUUAUUUUCAGAAACAUAUAUAUUAAGAUGUCUCAUUUUAUAGAGACAGUAGUGUCUUUGGAACAAUAUUAUAACUCUUGGGCUCUCAGUGAAAUAAUUAACAGCAUCCUGAGUGUUAAAAUGCUUGGAUUUAUUAUGCAUUACAAUCAAACUGGUAAGUUCUCAAAUCAUCCAUUCUGCAAACUCAGACAGGUAUCUCAAAAACAAAUCUAUUUUUUUCUUCUGUCUUUUACCCAACUCUUAUUACCUUAAGGGUGGUAAGGAAUGUUGAUAUUACAGGUUGUUAAAGUAAUUAUUUGGAAAGGAAAACAUUAUUUUGGGCUGUAGAUGUGUCACGACCCCAGUACAUUUUUUUUUUAUAUAUAUUUUUUUACUCCUGGUUUUGUGAACUUUGCUAGUUUCUUUGGAACCUAUUUCAGUGUUCCCUAUAUUAUUUUAAUAAAUAAAUAAGAAGACAACGCCCAUUAAAAAUUUUGCAAUCAGAAUUUGUUUGACAUUUUUGCUGAGGAGGCAGAACAAGACCUGACUUGAUCUUAUUGUUUUCUGGAUCCUGUUACAGACCCACAUUUCUAACUAUAAUCACACAAACCUUAUGUUUCCCAACAAUAUGACAAAUUGAAUCAUAUAAUCUAAUAAUAAGACUCUAAAGUAAUGGACAUAUCACAACUGAUUUUCUUUAAAUUUCUGGUUUUCUUCAUUCCUAAAAGCCUUGACAAAAGACCAUGCAGACCAGUCAUGUGCUUAUAUUCGAUAAGUAAUGAAGCAACAUGAAAUUCUAUAUGGUGUUGAAGAAUAAUUCUCUAUUAUGAAAAUUGUAGAAUCAUAGAAUGACUGAGGUUGGAAGGGACUUCAAAGAUUAUCCAGAUCCAAUCCCCCUGCCAUAGGCUGGGUUAAAAGCCACUAAAUCAGGCACAAGAUUGCCCAGAGCCCCAUCCAACCUGGCCUUGAACACCUCCAGGGAUGGGGCAUCCACAACCUCUUUAUCUUUGUGACCUCCUCUGGACCCACUCCAACAGCUUUGUGCCUUUCUUGUGCUGAGUGCCUCAGGCCUGGACACAGUACUGCAGAUGAGGUUUAACAAGGACAGAGUAGAGGGAAACAGUCUCCAAGUUUGUACACAUAUCUGCGAUUGUCCCAACCCAAGAACAACACCUUGCACUUGGCCUUGUUGAACCUAAUUUGGCUCAUAUGCACCCACUUCUCAAGAGUGUCCAGCUCCCACUGGAUAUCAUCCUUUCCUUGACUGUAACAACUGUGCCACUAACUUGGUGUCAUCCACAAACUUGCUGAGGGUAUACUCGAUCCAGCUCUAUGUCACCAAUAAAAAUGUUAAAUAGCAUCAGUUCCAAACUGGACCUCUGGGGGACACCAAUUGUGAGUGGUCCAGAAGGAGAGUGGCUGUUGCUUUUGUCAUCUCAGUCUCCUUCAGUCUCUGUUGCACAAUUUUCUACUCACAUUUUGGUCUUCUUACCUGUGUUACAAACCUCUCCAGGACUACACAGUCCUGUGGGUGGUUGUGUGGAAUGAAUUGGGUUUUCCUUGGAAGGCGGUGCAGUGUUGACUGAUUUUUAUCAAUUUGCAGAACCUCAGAAUAACUCACCACUUUUCUAAGGAGUAUUUUGAGGAGCUGACGUUGUCUCCUAAUGGGUCUUACCAUGUAGUUUGUGUCCUAAAAGGUGGCACCACAGAGAUAAGAGCUGAGCUGGUUUCUGUCCUUCAGGUAAUAGAUAAGGAUGGUCAUGAUUUCCUUCAGAAUGUUUUUUCAGUCCCUUGGGUUGUCAUGACACUGCUCACAUCCAUGUGAGCAUAUAGCCACAACCAUCCUCCUGGACAUAUAGCCACAGUCCUCUGGCUGCAACCUUCCAACCAGUUCUUUAUUCACCAAAUAGUCCAGCCUUCAAACCCAUAUCUCUUCAAUUCAGUGAUAAGGAUGCAGAACCAUUCAAAGGUCUUGUACAAGUCCAGGCAAACAAUAUAAAUUGCCCUUCCUUUGUCCACCGAUGCUAUCACUGCAUUGUAGUAAGUCACCUUAUUAGUAAUUCACAGUCAGCCCUUGAUGAAGCUGUGCUGGCUGUCUAGGCUCACCUCCUCAUAUUCUUCAUAUUUUUUCCUUUUUCUCUUCUGGAUAAUAUUUAUCUAUUUUGAAUUCAACAUCUAUGUCCUACUGGAAUGCCAUGCAUGAUUCUUUCUAGAAAGCUACAAAGAAAAUAAGGAUCUUUGUCUGCUUAUAGUCCAUCUUUUUUUUCCUAUAUUUCUGCAGAUAUUGAUUUCUAGGUUGAGUAUCACAUUCAGGGCCUGGGGUAACAGAGAUUAGAAUCAGAGAUCGUUCCAGUGAAAACAGUGGAUUUGUGUCCAUCUAGAGCAAGUCUAUCUGGAAGAAAAUCAAAUACUUGGCCCAAUUUUUAGUUAUGCAAAACAAAUUCAGCCUGCAUAGCUAUAGUGAACAAAAGAUUAUAAAUAUUUGAUACUAAUAUGACAAACAACAGGAAUUCUAUAGAUUCUAUACUAUGUAAAUUGCCAGAAUCCUUUUAAAGGUAAAUGUGUAUAAAGAAAUUGGUGUAUUUUCAGAAAGCAGAUGAUUUCAAAAUUUUUCAUUCAAGAUACAUGAGGUUUACUUUAUCGUGUACUUCAGAGAGUUGCUCAUGUUAGUAUCCACAGCAAAGAUCUGCUCUAAACAGUAAAAUCUUGCAUACAAAAGUAGAGUUGGGGAUAACGGAGCAAGAGAGGAGAAGGUUGAGCCCUUAUAGCUGGUGUCUGUGCUAGGCACUUCUGAGAUUUCUUUUGAAUCCAUCACACCAUUGCUGCUCCAGCACUCAUAUUUCAUCUGUUUUGAAUCCACAGUUGUCAGUGCAGCCUUCAAUAUGUUCUGUUAAAUUCUCACCGAAUCUCCAUGGGUUCCUCCGUCUCUUCACACUAAGGGAGACGAGAGAGAGAAAGCAGCAAAGUGGUUAGAAAUCUUCUGCCAAACACAGAUGGUAUCCUGAUUGCUCUUUCAGCCUACCUGAGUCUGUCUGUGGAGCUGUGGAUGUUGUGGACUUGUGUGUGAAGAAUUUCCAAUGCGCACAGAGAAUUCACCCAAAGGAAAAUUUCCAUCUGAUAUUUAAUAACCAAUUCAUCAAACAGAUUAGAGAAACAAAUAUGGAUGUUUAGACAUUUUACGUGUAUAUGGAUUUAUCCGCAUAAAAGUAUAUCUAUAUUUUUAUAAGAAAAAAAUAGAAAGGAAGAACAGGAAGACUCCGGAAUUACACAGCUGUCUGCUUUUAAAAAACAAUGACAGAAGUACUUGCUUGUACAGAGUAGGCAGUCUAUGAGCAUCCAAGAAGCUGUGGGGGAAAAAAAAAUAAUCCAAAAACAUAUAGCAACAAGAAAAGGCUUUUCUUUAUGGCAUCUGAGCAUGUUCAUUUAUUCCUCUCAAGAUACAGUCACAGUAUGGUAUAUGAUUUCAUUACGGCAACUUAACAAGUUAACGCCUGUCAGCUGACUUGCUGUAACCAACUGUGUAUGCUCUCUUAUUCUGCCCCAUUUGCAAGAUAAAAUGCAUUAGCUUAAAUUCACAUGCCAUGGGUUACCCUUACAAGCCAGAUUUCUAAAUAGUUUUUGGCAUACCUGGCACAGUUUGCUGGUAUCCCGUUCUCAGCACAAGACUUAUUCAGUGCAGCAGAGGAAAAGGAAAUCUUCCUACUUGCAGAGAAAUAAAUCAACCUACCAACUGUAAACUCAGCACACAAAGGAAAAGUCCUUGUUCAACUAGUAUAGGUGAUCGAUUUGUAAAGUGAACCAUGAGAUUUAAUUACCCUCAUUAUAUUAGUUCAGAUAACUUCAGAUGUUGCGACUUGUCGUGAAACAUAUAGUCUUUUAAAAAAAAAUCCAGUUAUAGUAUUUGACUUAGUGACCUAUUAUAGCAUUAAAUUGCACAGUAUGCCAAUGCAUUGUGAAAAUUUAAGUCCUUUUUUGGUGCUGUGUAUAUUACCUUUAGUUCAAAGGAAGGAGUUUUGGAUUUACUUUUAUUUUGAGGCAGGUGUUGAAGGAAAGAGAAGGGGUAGUUUUUACUAAGACUUUUCUUUCAUUUUAAAUUUCUAGUUUUACUCACUGUACUUAAUGGCUUUUCAAGCAAAAUCCCGAAGGGGCUGUUGUGUGGUUUGUGGUCUUGCUGGUCAUUUCUAAACACAGAUCCUUGAUGAAGAUGUUCUCGGAGCUCUCUGUAUGACAUGACUGUAAAGUCCAUAUAACUGGUGGUAGGAGGCACAUCUCAUGGUAUGCAUAUAAAAGUGCUUUGACACUACAGAUCUUGCCAGAAUAAGGGAGAAUGAACUCCAUUGUUUUCUGUCCUUGGUCAUCGCUGGAAUUUUUAUGCAUGUAACUAGCAGAUUAAUUAAUUCAGUUAGUCUUCAGACAUUUGCUGGAGAAGUAUCACAGAUGCAGAAAAGUGGGUAAAAUCUUUAGAUCAUCUUGUACUACAACUUUUCUUGUUCCUUCUCUCUGUUCCUACCCUCUUUCAUUGCUGUGCAUUAAUGGCAGGUAACACCAUUUUUCCACAUACUCGCAUACCUUUCAACUUCUC
This 7209-nucleotide long non-coding RNA is filed under the name Gallus gallus (chicken). Lineage: Eukaryota; Metazoa; Chordata; Aves; Galliformes; Phasianidae. The record is from RNAcentral.